GACGAACGCUGGCGGCGUGCUUAACACAUGCAAGUCGAACGGAAAGGCCCUGCUUUUGUGGGGUGCUCGAGUGGCGAACGGGUGAGUAACACGUGAGUAACCUGCCCUUGACUUUGGGAUAACUUUAGGAAACUGGGGCUAAUACCGGAUAGGAGCUCCUGCUGCAUGGUGGGGGUUGGAAAGUUUCGGCGGUUGGGGAUGGACUCGAGGCUUAUCAGCUUGUUGGUGGGGUAGUGGUUUACCAAGGUUUUGACGGGUAGCCGGCCUGGGAGGGUGGCCAGCCACAUUGGUACUGAGAGACGGCCCAGACGCCUACGGGAGGCAGCAGUGGGGAAUAUUGCACAAUGGGCGGAAGCCUGAUGCAGCAGCGCCGCGUGCGGGAUGACGGCCUUCGGGUUGUAAACCGCUUUCGCCUGUGACGAAGCGUGAGUGACGGUAAUGAGUAAAGAAGCACCGGCUAACUACGUG
RNAcentral lists this ribosomal RNA (468 nucleotides) under uncultured bacterium. RNAcentral's name for it is "partial 16S ribosomal RNA". It matches the Rfam family "Bacterial small subunit ribosomal RNA", at positions 28 to 507 of the family's 1533-position model. The record is from RNAcentral.